UAUUAACGCGUCAAAAUGACUGUGAGCUAUGUGGAUUUGACUUCAUAUCACAGCCAUUUUGACGAGUUUG
Drosophila melanogaster (fruit fly) is the source of this 70-nucleotide non-coding RNA. Its record names the gene mir-13b-2. NCBI's taxonomy places the organism in Eukaryota, Metazoa, Arthropoda, Insecta, Diptera, Drosophilidae. The record is from Ensembl.